RNAcentral lists this ribosomal RNA (418 nucleotides) under Zonosagitta nagae. RNAcentral's name for it is "small subunit ribosomal RNA". Lineage: Eukaryota; Metazoa; Chaetognatha; Sagittoidea; Aphragmophora; Sagittidae. The record is from RNAcentral.
GAUUAAAAAAUUAAAACCAUGGAAAUUAUUUCCAGAUAAGAAAGUUUUUAAUUAAAGAAUAAAUAAAAGCGGUCAACCUCGUGCCAGCAUCUGCGGUUAUACGUGGGCUCACUCUCAUAACAAAAGAAAUAAAAAAUUCCGAAAGUAAUAUUAGGAAGUCAUACAGACUGAGUAAAUUAAAAAGAUUAGAUACCUUUGUAAUACAGACAAAUAUUUAAGCAGUAAUUAUAAACUUUAAAAACCUGGCAGAAAGUAAAAUCAAAGGCUCGUUGGCAAAAAGAUAACCCGCUAUCUAAUUACGGUUAGUAGUGUAUUGCUGUUAAAGAAAUAACUAAGUUAUUAUAAUCAACCAAGCCUUAAUGCUCGGAAGUAAUUAAACCUGAGAGAUUAAGAUUUGUUAGUAAAUAAGAUAAGAAAA